CCCUACGCCAGUUACUGGCCACUGAAUCUAGGUGGGGCCCACCACCGCCAGCGGUGCUUGCCAAUCCAUGCAACUGCGAAGCGCGCCUGGACCUUAGCAGACCGCGAAGGGCGUCAGAGCCGGCAGCUGCGGGGCGCGGGGAGGCUUGAACUAUUUGGGGGCGACCCGCGCGGCGCAUCGCCGUUUUAAAUCCCUCCCCGAGGUCCCUGGCACGCCGGAGCUGGACGGGAAUGGAGUUCCAGAACCACACGCCAAAAGCCCCGGGACUGAAAGGAGCAGUUUAAACCAAAAAAGCCGCCCCAGCUGUACAAACGGGGGAUAAAGUCCACAGGUGACCGAAACUGCUGAAAGGGAAAAUAUGGAGCCCACAGGAAAGCUGCUUCCUUGUAUGUACAUGGAUCUGCCAGUUGAAGAUCCACGCCUAUGGAUAUUGGCAUCAACAUUCCCUCCGCACUAAGGAGAACUUUGCUCAAAGUAUCUCGCCGCUGAAUGUUUUGUCCUCCUGAGUUGAGCGGCAUGGCAAGUUGGCUCUUAGGGUUCAUUUCCUUUGGACCCCAAAAUCCAGGGCCUGAUACGGCAAGGAUCCCGGAUGCCUCUUGAGAUGAAGGGGAUUUCUUCAUGAAAGUGCAGAGAAAAGGCCAGAGUAACAUGACUUUCCUGUUGAGAUUCUCUCAGAAGUUCCUCCGCUUUUCUUGGGGCUCCUCACAUGUGAACCAUGCAGAGUCAGCAGCCGUGUGACACAGCAAGAAAUAAUCUGCCCAGCUCUGGGGUCAAAGACAUUUCUAUCCCACGAGGCGAGAAGGACAACAGGGUUUAUUUUCCCCUUUGACGCAUCUCGGAAGCAAUAUGCAUCCCAUCUUCUCUGGAAGAACUGUUUCAUGCUAGCAGGUUCAAACUUCUUCGUUAGCGACUGUGGCCAUCUUUCCAAAAGCUAUGCUCUUGUUCAGCCACUUGUUCCUGGGUGGAACUUUAUGGCCUGAAUUACGCAGGUCCGAUUUGAUGAUACUAAUGGUCCCUCCUGGACAUACAUGGAGGGAUAAUAUAAUAAAUUCUGGCUCAUGUUGGCUAACCUCCCCCAAAUUGCCAGGCGCACACACUAAGGUGUAGGCAGUGCAACCUAGUGGUCACAGCAGAAUCAGCAGGCAGAGCCAGACAAGCCAAUGGCUGGAGCCAGACGUCAGAACAGAACCAAACGGGAUAGCCUGAGUCGUGGUCAGGAGGCAAGCCAGUGGUCAGAGCCAGGAGGCAGGCGGGGCCUAGGCUGGAGCAGAACAGGCAAAGGGGGGAGCAUGGGCUAGACAGGAAGCAGGUCUGGUGCAGCUGCAGGCAUGGGGCACAUUGAGCAGCCACUGUGUAGCUGUUGCUACAGGGUUUAUAUAGUGAUCUGUUGGCUCUUCUGACCAACCAGGAAGCACAGUCACUUAAUGCAGGUUUAUUGGACCUAGCCCAGUCCGGAGGCAGCUGAGUUCCUGGCACACACGUUGCAAAAGUGACAACAUCAUGUGCUCAUCUGCUCCGAUGUCACCAACUCUCAUGGUUUUAACAUGCGUCUCACAAUAGUUGGUCUUUCUCUCAAAGCUCCAGCUCCUGGAGUCAUGGGGUUAAACGUUCAUUACAAAAUCAAAGCAAGUUUCUAGCUCUCAGUUUUGUGCAGAACAGCUUGAAAAUAUGACCCAAAUGCAUCUAAAAGGCUCACAAUCUAGCAGGCAAAUAAAAAGAACCUAUUUAAAAAAAAGCAUGAAUUUUAUGCCAUUCUCAUGAUUUUAAAGCGUGUGACUUAUGAUGUGUGUAUAUUUGGGGUUGGCACUAAUGGCCCAGCCUGACACAAAGCUCACUUGAACACUGUAAUGCCAAGAGUAGGAAUAAUUUAAGGAGCAGUUGCAUGCUCCAAGCAAUUGUAUAUGUGGGGAAAUGACUUUCCCCCUUCAUUGGUUAAGCUGCUGGACUUUCAGCAUAAGGGAGUUCCAUGUAACCAAAGUUCAGCGGCGAUUUGUUUAAAAAGGUGAGGGACAUGAAGGAGCAGAAAAGGCUCAGUUUCAUCGUGGUCCAGUUCCUUCCAUGAUGAAGCCACAGACUACCCACAGAGGAGUUUCCUCCACAACUUGGGGAGGAAGUAGGAUCAAGGCCACUUGUUUUCUGCUAUGCAUGGCAGGUGCUGCAGUCACCCGUCAGAAUCUGGCUCAGAACCUUCAGGCUGCAGCUAAGUCUUGCCAAAGCAUUUUCCAGAUUGUCUGAAAGUUAAUGAGCUCUCUUACUUUUUUUUCCCUUCUUUUUAGCAUAUUGGCUUAAACCAUCAAAUAUCAUGGGAAAUGCUGAGAAUUAAUGUAAUGUAAUGUAACUAUUGGCCUUUAUCCAUCCAGGGUCUUUUCCUGGGGUUAUUAAUGCCUUUGCGAGGGGAAUUCAGGGACAUAUGCAUUCUCUUUUAAAACAUCUACGUGGAAUUUUCACAGAAAAGAGAAGCAGGUAUUUUAAUGAUUUUGUACAAUGACUGAAUCAAAAUCGAAAAUACCAUGGUCUCAUUUUAACACUGUAUUCUGGUUAUCUUAUGACACAAUGAGGAAGUAGACACAAGCCAGCAUUUUUCACACGUUACCCAUGAGGAGAUGGCGGAGAGAGAUUAAGUGACUUGCUCCAGGGCAGAGAUCUAGGAGCCAGGAUCCAAACUCAGGAGUUCCUGGCAUUCAGAUCUGUGCUCAGCCCACCCGUCACUCUAGCAUUCUACGUCUGUUUUAAAAUUGGUUAUAGAUGCAGGCCAAGCAGUGAAUCAGCUACUAUAAACGGGAUGGUGUGCUGUUGGUAAAUUGUUGUCAUUAUAUUUCCAGCAAUGGUAACUACCUGAAGGAAAGCACUUAGAUACUAUACAAAGAAAAAAUAUUGUGUGUGAGCCAUUACCAGUUCAUGGUUUACGAGCCCGAAUUAAAAAAAAAAUUCUUCUCCUGUUUAUAGAUUGGCUUUUAAUGUGAUAGUGUUUUUUUGUUAAAUUGUAUUAAUUAGAAAUUAAUUUCAAAUUACCCUUACCCUGACCUGCGGCUAGUCUUAGUAUUUGUACUUAGGAACAUUAAAACCAACUUUGUUAUCAUGCAGUGCCUCAGACAAUUCAAAAUCUCCUCGCUGAUUUAUGUGGGCCUUUAUUAGUUAUUAUUACAUGGCACCAGCAGCCAGGGUCCCUAGUCAAGGAGCACCCCUUUGUGUCAGGUGCUGUACAGACAUAUAGGAAGAAGACUGCCCCCAAGAGCCCACCAUUUAGGUUAUGAGAAAGUGUAACAGGCGGGUGAGAAAAAACAAAUGAGGGAGAGGGACAGGCAGUGCCAGGUACCAGGAAAGUAAAUGAUGUUGCAUCGUCAUUGUGAUGCCCAUCAUUUAUACCAUGGGCAGUAAUAAUCAUGCACACGUGAUAGCCAGAUUCCCUGAUCCGUCGUGCUAAACUUUACUGGAGCUAGGCAACAUUUUUCAUGCAAAUCCUUUUUUUUCCCAAAAAAACAAAAAUAAAAAUUGCAGAGUUGGGUUCACUGAACCCAUUUGUGAACUUUGGUCAAUUUUGGCAGUGUUUCAGUUGAGAAAAGAAAAAGAAAAAAAAGAAAAAA
Molecule: long non-coding RNA, 3584 nt
Organism: Caretta caretta (loggerhead turtle)
Lineage: Eukaryota; Metazoa; Chordata; Testudines; Cheloniidae
Source: RefSeq, a predicted model, not a curated record